CUACGGGAGGCUCCAGUGAGGAAUAUUGCACAAUGGGGGGAACCCUGAUGCAGCAACGCCGCGUGGAGGAUGACGCAUUUCGGUGUGUAAACUCCUUUUAUAUGUCAAGAAAAUGACGGUAGCAUAUGAAUAAGCACCGGCUAACUCCGUGUCAGCAGCCGCGGUAAUACGGAGGGUGCAAGCGUUACUCGGAAUCACUGGGCGUAAAGGACGCGUAGGCGGGUUGGAAAGUCAGGUGUGAAAUCCUACAGCUUAACUGUAGAACUGCACUUGAAACUUCUAAUCUAGAGUAUGGGAGGGGGAGAUGGAAUUAGUGGUGUAGGGGUAAAAUCCGUAGAUAUCACCAGGAAUACCUAAAGCGAAGGCGAUCUCCUGGAGCAUUACUGACGCUAAGGCGUGAAAGCGUGGGGAGCAAACAGGAUUAGAUACCCGUGUAGUC
This 439-nucleotide ribosomal RNA is filed under the name uncultured bacterium. Its description in RNAcentral is "partial 16S ribosomal RNA". It matches the Rfam family "Bacterial small subunit ribosomal RNA", at positions 339 to 795 of the family's 1533-position model. The record is from RNAcentral.